Molecule: ribosomal RNA, 381 nt
Filed under: Rentonellum sp. NLG-2013
Lineage: Eukaryota; Metazoa; Arthropoda; Insecta; Coleoptera; Rentoniidae
Description: partial 12S ribosomal RNA
Source: RNAcentral
UAAAAUUAACAAAUUUGGCGGUAUUUUAGUCUUUUCAGAGGAACCUGUCCUAUAAUUGAUAGUCCACAAUUAAUUUUACUUAUUUUAUAAAUUUGUAUAUCGUUGUAGUUGAAUAUUUUAAAAGAAUUAUAAUGUUCAAAAUUUUUAAAAAAAAAUUAAAUCAGAUCAAGACACAGUUAAUAAAUAAGGAGAGAUGGGUUACAAUAAAUUAAUUUAUAUGGAUUUUAUAAUGAAAUUUGUAAAUAAAAGUGGAUUUGAAAGUAAUUUUUAAAUAUUUAUAUUAUGAUUAUAGCUCUAAAAUAUGUACAUAUUGCCCGUCGCUUUCAUUUUAAAAUGAAAUAAGUCGUAACAAAGUAGACUUACUGGAAAGUGUGUCUAGAA